Molecule: ribosomal RNA, 416 nt
Filed under: Nectriaceae sp. nc_sqmc_25_5a
Lineage: Eukaryota; Fungi; Ascomycota; Sordariomycetes; Hypocreales; Nectriaceae
Description: eukaryotic LSU rRNA
Rfam family: 5.8S ribosomal RNA (bases 39-192)
Source: RNAcentral
AUAUAACCAGCGUCUAUAUAAAAAAAAAGAAGAUUUUGUUUUUUCAACAACGGAUCUCUUGGUUCUGGCAUCGAUGAAGAACGCAGCGAAAUGCGAUAAGUAAUGUGAAUUGCAGAAUUCAGUGAAUCAUCGAAUCUUUGAACGCACAUUGCGCCCGCCAGUAUUCUGGCGGGCAUGCCUGUUCGAGCGUCAUUUCAACCCUCAAGCUCUGCUUGGUGUUGGGGAUCGGCAAGGCGUCCUCCGGGUCGCGCCGUCCCCCAAAUAUAGUGGCGGUCUCGCUGUAGCUUCCUCUGCGUAGUAAUACACCUCGCUCUGGAGUCUCGGUGCGACCACGCCGUAAAACCCCCAACUUUUUUCUGGUUGACCUCGAAUCAGGUAGGACUACCCGCUGAACUUAAGCAUAUCAAUAAGCGGAG